This 448-nucleotide ribosomal RNA is filed under the name Cyamophila hexastigma. RNAcentral describes it as "partial 16S ribosomal RNA". The record is from RNAcentral. Lineage: Eukaryota; Metazoa; Arthropoda; Insecta; Hemiptera; Psyllidae.
AAACAUUUCUGGGGGGAAAAUGUUUUUGGUAUAACCUGCUCAAUGCUUGUUGUAAAUAGCUGCAGUAUUUUGACUGUACAAAGGUAGCAUAAUCAUUAGUCUUUUAAUUGAAGGCUUGUAUGAAAGGUUGAACAGAAUACUAACUUUUUUGAUUACAUGAAAUUUAAACUUAUUGUUUAUGUUAAAAUACAUAUUUGUUUAAAAGGGACGAUAAGACCCUGUAGAAUUUAAAAGUUAUUUGAGAUUUAGAUUUUUUUAUUGGGGUGAUAGUAAAUAAACUUUUACAUUGAUUUCAUUGAUGAAUGAUUAAUUGAUCCUAUACUUCAGAAAAAAAGAUAAAAUUACCUAAGGGAUAACAGCAUAAUUUUUUUUAAAAGAUCUUAUUAAUAAAAAAGAUUAUGACCUCGAUGUUGAAUUAAAAUUAGAAUUUGGUGUAGAAGCUAAGUUC